This 501-nucleotide ribosomal RNA is filed under the name uncultured bacterium. Its description in RNAcentral is "partial 16S ribosomal RNA". It matches the Rfam family "Bacterial small subunit ribosomal RNA", at positions 30 to 523 of the family's 1533-position model. The record is from RNAcentral.
AUUGAACGCUGGCGGCAGGCUUAACACAUGCAAGUCGAGCGGGGGAAGGUAGCUUGCUACCGGACCUAGCGGCGGACGGGUGAGUAAUGCUUAGGAAUCUGCCUAUUAGUGGGGGACAACAUCUCGAAAGGGAUGCUAAUACCGCAUACGUCCUACGAGAGAAAGCAGGGGAUCUUCGGACCUUGCGCUAAUAGAUGAGCCUAAGUCGGAUUAGCUAGUUGGUGGGGUAAAGGCCUACCAAGGCGACGAUCUGUAACGGGUCUGAGAGGAUGAUCCGCCACACUGGGACUGAGACACGGCCCAGACUCCUACGGGAGGCAGCAGUGGGGAAUAUUGGACAAUGGGGGGAACCCUGAUCCAGCCAUGCCGCGUGUGUGAAGAAGGCCUUAUGGUUGUAAAGCACUUUAAGCGAGGAGGAGGCUACUUUAGUUAAUACCUAGAGAUAGUGGACGUUACUCGCAGAAUAAGCACCGGCCAACUCUGUGCCAGCAGCCGCAGUAA